RNAcentral lists this ribosomal RNA (301 nucleotides) under uncultured bacterium. RNAcentral describes it as "partial 16S ribosomal RNA". It matches the Rfam family "Bacterial small subunit ribosomal RNA", at positions 509 to 809 of the family's 1533-position model. The record is from RNAcentral.
CAGUCGCCGCGGUAAUACGGAGGGUGCAAGCGUUAUCCGGAUUUAUUGGGUUUAAAGGGUCCGUAGGCGGAUCUGUAAGUCAGUGGUGAAAUCUCACAGCUUAACUGUGAAACUGCCAUUGAUACUGCAGGUCUUGAGUAAAUUUGAAGUGGCUGGAAUAAGUAGUGUAGCGGUGAAAUGCAUAGAUAUUACUUAGAACACCAAUUGCGAAGGCAGGUCACUAAGAUUUAACUGACGCUGAUGGACGAAAGCGUGGGGAGCGAACAGGAUUAGAUACCCCAGUAGUCCCUGUCUCUUAUAU